GAUCAAGCGAAUAAGUGCAUGUGGUGGAUGCCUUGGCGAUUACAGGCGAUGAAGGGCGUGGUAGCCUGCGAAAAGCUCCGGGGAGCUGGCAAACAAGCUUUGAUCCGGAGAUGUCCGAAUGGGGAAACCCGGCCCGCAAGGGUCAACCUUGGCUGAAUACAUAGGCCAAGCGUGGCGAACCUGGUGAACUGAAACAUCUAAGUAGCCAGAGGAAAAGAAAUCAACCGAGAUUCCCAGAGUAGUGGCGAGCGAAAUGGGAGCAGCCUCCAACUUUUAGCAUUCGAAUUAGCUGAACCGUCUGGAAAGUCGGGCCAUAGCGGGUGAUAGCCCCGUAGGCGAAAAUUCGAGAUCCUGUCUGAACAUGGGGGGACCAUCCUCCAAGGCUAAAUACUCGUAGUCGACCGAUAGUGAACCAGUACCGUGAGGGAAAGGCGAAAAGAACCCCGGGAGGGGAGUGAAAUAGAUCCUGAAACCGCAUGCAUACAAACAGUGGGAGCGGACUUGUUCCGUGACUGCGUACCUUUUGUAUAAUGGGUCAGCGACUUACAUUCAGUAGCAAGCUUAACCGAAUAGGGGAAGCGCAGCGAAAGCGAGUCUUAAUAGGGCGUUUAGUUGCUGGGUGUAGACCCGAAACCAGAUGAUCUACUCAUGGCCAGGAUGAAGCGGGGGUAACACCUCGUGGAGGUCCGAACCCACUAAUGUUGAAAAAUUAGGGGAUGAGCUGUGGGUAGGGGUGAAAGGCUAAACAAAUCUGGAAAUAGCUGGUUCUCUCCGAAAACUAUUUAGGUAGUGCCUCACGUAUCACCUUCGGGGGUAGAGCACUGUUAUGGCUAGGGGGCCGUUUAGGCCUACCAAACCAUGGCAAACUCCGAAUACCGAAGAGUGCGAGCGUGGGAGACAGACAUCGGGUGCUAACGUCCGGUGUCGAAAGGGAAACAACCCAGACCCUCAGCUAAGGUCCCAAAGACACAGUUAAGUGGCAAACGAAGUGGGAAGGCUAAAACAGUCAGGAGGUUGGCUUAGAAGCAGCCAUCCUUUAAAGAAAGCGUAAUAGCUCACUGAUCGAGUCGUCCUGCGCGGAAGAUGUAACGGGGCUCAAACUGUGCACCGAAGCUAGGGAUUUACACGCAAGUGUAGAUGGUAGGAGAGCGUUCCGUAGGCCUGCGAAGGUGGCUUGAGAAGGCUGCUGGAGGUAUCGGAAGUGCGAAUGCUGACAUGAGUAGCGAUAAAGGGAGUGAAAGGCUCCCUCGCCGUAAGCCCAAGGUUUCCUGCGCAACGUUCAUCGGCGCAGGGUGAGUCGGCCCCUAAGGUGAGGCAGAAAUGCGUAGCUGAUGGGAAACUGGUUAAUAUUCCAGUACCUUUGUUCAAUGCGAUGUGGGGACGGAGAAGGUUAGCUCGGCCGGGUGUUGGAUGUCCCGGUUGAAGCGUGUAGACGUGCUGCCCAGGCAAAUCCGGGCGGCUUAGUUGAGGCGUGAUAACGAAACGCCCUUCGGGGCGCCAAGUGAGUGAUACCCUGCUUCCAGGAAAAGCCACUAAGCUUCAGUUGAAUGAGGACCGUACCGCAAACCGACACAGGUGGGCGGGAUGAAAAUUCCAAGGCGCUUGAGAGAACUCAGGAGAAGGAACUCGGCAAAUUGACACCGUAACUUCGGGAUAAGGUGUGCCCCCGGUACGUGUAGCACCUCGCGUGUGAAGCGGAUGGGGGUUGCAAAGAAAUGGUGGCUGCGACUGUUUAAUAAAAACACAGCACUCUGCAAACACGAAAGUGGACGUAUAGAGUGUGACGCCUGCCCGGUGCCGGAAGGUUAAGUGAUGGGGUGCAAGCUCUUGAUCGAAGCCCCGGUAAACGGCGGCCGUAACUAUAACGGUCCUAAGGUAGCGAAAUUCCUUGUCGGGUAAGUUCCGACCUGCACGAAUGGCGUAACGA
Molecule: ribosomal RNA, 1927 nt
Filed under: Nitrosospira sp.
Lineage: Bacteria; Pseudomonadati; Pseudomonadota; Betaproteobacteria; Nitrosomonadales; Nitrosomonadaceae
Description: partial 23S ribosomal RNA
Rfam family: Bacterial large subunit ribosomal RNA
Source: RNAcentral